RNAcentral lists this ribosomal RNA (244 nucleotides) under uncultured bacterium. Its description in RNAcentral is "partial 16S ribosomal RNA". It matches the Rfam family "Bacterial small subunit ribosomal RNA", at positions 113 to 353 of the family's 1533-position model. The record is from RNAcentral.
ACACGUGGGCAACCUGCCUUAUAGAGGGGAAUAGCCUUCCGAAAGGAAGAUUAAUACCGCAUAAGAUUGUAGCUUCGCAUGAAGUAGCAAUUAAAGGAGCAAUCCGCUAUGAGAUGGGCCCGCGGCGCAUUAGCUAGUUGGUGAGGUAACGGCUCACCAAGGCGACGAUGCGUAGCCGACCUGAGAGGGUGAUCGGCCACAUUGGGACUGAGACACGGCCCAGACUCCUACGGGAGGCAGCAUG